UACGGAGGAGGCAAGCGUUAUCCGGAAUCACUGGGCGUAAAGCGCACGUAGGCGGAUUGUUAAGUCGGGGGUGAAAUCCUGGAGCUCAACUCCAGAACUGCCUUCGAUACUGGCGAUCUUGAGUCCGGGAGAGGUGAGUGGAACUCCGAGUGUAGAGGUGAAAUUCGUAGAUAUUCGGAAGAACACCAGUGGCGAAGGCGGCUCACUGGCCCGGUACUGACGCUGAGGUGCGAAAGCGUGGGGAGCAAACAGG
Molecule: ribosomal RNA, 253 nt
Filed under: uncultured bacterium
Lineage: Bacteria
Description: partial 16S ribosomal RNA
Rfam family: Bacterial small subunit ribosomal RNA
Source: RNAcentral